ACAGGACACCGAGUGCUCCCGGCUUACAAGUGCUGACUGACCAUGGAUAUCGAGAAGAGCCUAUCAUACCCCCACAAUCAUAAAGCAGGGCACUGUAUUGCAGGUAGAACCGUACGUUUUAAUUCCCCACCAAAGACUCUGGUCAGGUUUUCAGAAGACACUUGCCCCAAACUGCGCUCUAUUCCUUUGGACGUGUACGGUAAACCGGAGAUUUACCGCUGGAGGACGGCUUACGACGAGGCCUAUAACAUGGACCUGCAGGGAAGAUGGAAGUGACGGAAGCCUGGUAAAAGCAGAUUAUUUUUCGAAAUGGGCAAUGUGGUCUUCUCUGAAUGCUACACAACUGCUGCAGACUGAGGACACUGAAAUCAGCAGGAGAAUUUUGCAUUGAGAUAACAGCUUGUACUCACCAUAAACGCCAUGAAAUACGAAUAAAAUAGUUUUUAAAAGAAAAAUAAAUUGGUGUCUAAAAUUCUAUGUGUUUGCAGUGGUGUUUACUUUCUAUG
Molecule: long non-coding RNA, 506 nt
Organism: Bufo gargarizans (Asiatic toad)
Lineage: Eukaryota; Metazoa; Chordata; Amphibia; Anura; Bufonidae
Exons: 5
Source: RefSeq, a predicted model, not a curated record